This 1038-nucleotide long non-coding RNA is filed under the name Cervus hanglu yarkandensis (Yarkand deer). RNAcentral describes it as "lncRNA (ENSCHYG00000007465.1)". Lineage: Eukaryota; Metazoa; Chordata; Mammalia; Artiodactyla; Cervidae. The record is from RNAcentral.
AUGGAAGCUUCGGCGCUGGUCAGUUGUGACCGAAACUCCGCCGGCUCGGGCCUGGGAGGAGACAGAGGGGGUGGGGUCUCGGUCCUCCCUCCACGGGAAGUCGGGGCGAGGGUGGGCCGCGAAGCGCUGGGGGCCGCGUGGGGCCGGCCCGACACCUACCUGCGGGUCCCGGGCAGCCGCCCCAGAGCGAGGCCUAGUGCAUCGCCGCCGCCUCCAAGCCUCCACGUCGCGCCGAGGCUGCUGCUCCGCGGCCGCCGCCGCCCGGAGCCCGGCUGGGCCCGAGCCCGGCUUCCCGCCCCCGACCCGCGCCGGCUGGCCAGUCGGCCGGGGGAGCACAGGGCCGCCCUCUCGAGCCCCGCUCCGCUCGGGGGUGAGAGGCGGCAGCGACCACUACCCCUAGCGAUUCUGCUCCCUGCUCUAUUGCUUCUCCUCACCCCGCCCGCCCGCCUCGGUCUGGCUAGGUCCAGGGGAGACAGCGCCGGAGGCCGCCGCGAGGCCUCCGCAGCCCCCAGCCCACAAUCCACCGCGCGGCUCCACCGGGGCGGGAGGCCGCGGCCCGGGCCGGGGGGGAGCGCUUGCCGUCUCGGGAGAGGGCCGGGCCUGGCGCGGGCGCCGCCGGCGUUACCCCGGAGCGGGGAAUACCCCGCGCGGCUGCUCGGCGCCUCCUCUAAUCUCUAAUAACCCCCAGGCAGAGACAGAAACCCAAGCUGAACUCGACUUUUCCCGGCGACCCCUCCCCCACCCCCAGGUGCUCUCGGCUGCAGCCAGGUGCCGCUUGCCGCCUUCCCGGGUCGGUAUGCGACCCCUCAGGGUGGCCCUCGCCCAACCCCUAGAGCAACCGACACCAAACAUCCCUCAAUCACCCAGCACCUAUUAAAGUAGGUACUUCCACAAUAUUUCCACCUCUCCUUUCACCCCUUUUAAAGUGAAGGCUGUUCAGAGUUUCCCGGUUAAGUGUCCUUUGAAAGGUUUAAGGUCACCCCCUCCCCAACAAUCCACUGGACUCGAAACAGUGCACUCCCUAUGGAGGCCUUCUCC